Molecule: ribosomal RNA, 441 nt
Filed under: Triticum aestivum (bread wheat)
Lineage: Eukaryota; Viridiplantae; Streptophyta; Magnoliopsida; Poales; Poaceae
Description: partial small subunit ribosomal RNA
Source: RNAcentral
AUGACGAGAGUUAAGGAUAGUUACUAUGUACUUCCAGGAAAACCUGGACCGAAGCGCACCGUGUCAAACACUCACAGCAUUGGGAAGGUAAUGUUCCUAACAGCUGUUGCCAGGCCUCGAUAUAACAAUGAGGGAGAGCUAACAUUCGAUGGGAAGAUAUGUAUUUGGGCAUUCGUCGAAGAGACUGAGGCGAAGCGGACAAGUCAAAACAGAACAAAGGGAACAAAAGUGUUGACAUCAGUGAAAGUAGCUAGGCCUGUGUGCAGAGAUUAUCUAAUCAAUAAGGUUAUCCUGGCAAUUCAGGAUAAGUGGCCUGACGAUGAUGAGGGAGCAACAAUAUUCAUCCAACAGGAUAACGCAAAGCCUCACAUCCUUCCCAAUGAUGUAGCUUUUCGAGAAGCUGUGGAACAAACUGAUCUUGACAUCCGAUUGCUACAAUAG